AUUUAGCAUACAUACCUUAUAUAACAUACCAAUAAUACUAGGAAAGACUUACUAAUGAAAAGGAGCAACCAUAAACACAAAAGACAUGACGCACCGAUUCGCAAAAGAAAAAACUCGUCAGGGAAACUGACGGAUGGGAGCUGGCGCUCCCUUGUGGAGCUGGCACUCUAGUGAGGAGUGAGCGCUCUAGACAGGAGCCGGCGCUCCUUGCUGGCAGCGAGUGCUCGUAAUCUUCGAGCUAGGCUCGUACGUGAUCCAAUGACCAACUCAAUCCACACCAAACAUCAUCAACCAACACCCUUAACAUGAGACACAUCACUCAACCAUCAAAUACUCCAAUCUCCAAUAAACAAACCAAGUUACACCAAAUCAUUUGAACAACAAAACAUGAAAUUUGACAAACUAACUAGCAAGAACCAACGAGAUGAUCAUAAAAACAUGUUCACUACAUGAAAAGUAACAUAAGAACAACCAUACUUAACAUGAUAAUACGUUAAACUACAAUCAUACAAUCAUCUAAGUUCCACCUAGCAUGAGACUAAGUUCUCUAACGCAAUUCUAACAACCUAAGUUCAUCAUCUAUUCCCUAUCGAACUAGAAUAACGCUAGUUACCUUUUUCUUGAAGAGGUAAGUAGUAGAACACUUCGAUCAUAGUCUAAUUGCCUUGUGAGUAAUCACCACCUUCGUCUCUUACGAACACAAUCACAACGAACUCAACACGUGCUUGAAAACCGGUGCAAAAAUAGCUUGAAACCAUGAAAUGUGGACUGGUUUUUGUGUGAGAAAAUGUGAAGGAAGAACAAAACUUUUCCUACUCUCCCUUUUUCUUGUAUUAGGCGUGUAAAAUGAAGGUGACAAUGGAGGUAUUUUUAUGAUUUUAUUUUCAGAAAAUGAAGGUGAAGAGUUUGUGUUUUAAGAGGUUAAGAAAGGUAAAUGAAGAUGGCUCUUCGUUAACUUAACGCUAUAAGAGCUUAAUAAGGCUGUCCAACAACCGUUCAUACACCACCAAUAAAAUCAGAAAUUUGGACUUCCUAAAACAAAUAAUACAAUGUACAAAAGCACUAGUACAAUGUACAUUUUGGGCACCAAGUAAAACGUUGAAAAUAAUAUGUAUAAGUAAAUAUUUUUAUAAUUAAAAAUUAUAAUUAUUAACGUAAUACAAAUACAUACUUACCACACUAUCACAUUUUAGACUUUGCACAGACACGAGCACUACAUUUUCCGGUUCAUAUAACUAACGCAGAUACAAGUAUUAUACGUCUAUCAAACAAUGCCACACAUAAAACACAUUAUAAACACAUUAAAACACUAUUGAUCAAAAUAAUGUAGGUGUAAAAGUAUAUAAAUAUAUUUAUACUUUUCGAAAAUAUAUUAGUAAAAUAUAAUUUAACACUCAAAUAAUAAAAAUUAACGCGCGAAAAUUUCAGAGAAAUUUUGGGGUGUUACAAUCUCCCCUCCUGAAAAGAAGUUUCGUCCUCGAAACUUAAAAUAACAAGGAAAUACCAGGGACAAAAAGCUCGGGAUACUUAAGCCUCAUUGACUCUUCCGUUCCCUAAGUGGCUUCCUCGUACUUUUGGCUUCUCCAAAGUACCUUAACGAAGGGUAUCACCUUUCUUCUCAGGGCACGAUUUUGACGGUUGAAGAUCUGGACAUGUCGUUCAUCGAAAAUCAUAUUCGGCUCAAUAGAGACUGACUCUAUAGGAAUGACAUGAGACGGAUCACUACGAUAUCUUCGCAACCGCGACACAUGGAACACAUCGUGCACCCUCGAUAACUCGGGUGGCAUAGCCAAUCUGUAAGCUACCUCCCCAAUCCUCUCGAGAAUCUCAUAGGGACCAACAUACUUCCGGCUUAACUUGCCUUUUUGAGCAAAUCUCGCCACACCCUUCAUCGGAGAUACUUUCAGCAGCACCCUAUCUCCAAUGGCCUAAGAAAUAAGCUUCUGACGCAAAUCUGCAUAAGACUUUUGCCUAUCCUAAGCAGCCUUCAUUCUAGCCUGAAUAACCUUUACUUGCUCAACGGUAUCUUGGAUCAAAUCUGGUCCCAACACCAAAAAGUCACUUAUGUCGCUCCAACAAGUAGGACUACGACACUUUCGCCCAUACAAGGCUUCAUAAGGAGCCAUCUGAAUGCUAGCAUGGUAACUGUUAUUGUAAGAAAACUCGACCAAAUUCAACGACUUCAACCAGGACUCUUGAAAUUCCAAAGCACAAGCACGGAGCAUACCCUCCAGAGUCUAAAUAGUUUCUCAGUUUGCCCAUCUGUAGCAGCAUGUAAAGCGGUACUCAGCUUAAACUUAGUACCAAAAGCUUCUUGCAGAGCAACCCAAAAUUGAGACAAAAACCUAGGGUCACGAUCAGAGACUAUAUCCUUCGGAACACCAUGCAAUCGAAUGAUCUCAUUAGCUUAAGCUUCCGCUAACUCUUCAAUAGACCAAGUAUUCUUCACCGGAAUAAACCGGGCCACCUUAGUCAACCGGUCUACGAUCACCCAUACGGCAUUCUUACCACCAGCAGCUCUCGGAAGACCCAUAACAAUGUCCAUCGAGAUAGAAUCAAACUUCCAUGCAGGAAUAGGUAAUGGUUGUAGCAAUCCACCUGGUGUUUGAUGCUCAAUCUUGACCUUAUGACACACCAGACACCUAGCCACAAAUUCGACCACUUACCUCUUCAUACAAGGCCACCAGAAAUUAGCCUUGGGAUCCUUGUAAAGCUUAUCACCCCCAGGAUGAACAGAGUAGGGAGUGCAAUGAGCUUCUUCGAGAAUCUUCUUCUUAAGCUCUAGGUCAUUAGGUACACACCAACGACCCAUAAAUUUCAGUCCUCCCUCAGAAUCUAGUUCAAAAUUUUCAGCUCGACCGUGAACCUUAGCUUCACGGAUUUUCUCCAACUUAGGAUCACUCUUCUGCUUCUCUCGUAAUUCCUGGAACAAGACAGGCUCGACACUCAUAGCACAAUAAGUUUCUACUGAACCCUGAGGUACAACCUCGAUUUCAAGCUUCCAAAAUUCAUCACACAAGUCCCUCGGCGGGGUUCUAACCGCAUUAAGAGAAUGCUUCAACUUACGACUUAGGGCAUCUGCAACCACAUUAGCUUUACCCUCAUGGUAAUCGAGUUGCAAAUCGUAAUCCUUGAUCAAUUCCAACCAUCUUCUCUACCUCAGAUUCAAAUCUCGCUGUGUGAAGAUAUAUUAAGGCUCUUGUGGUUGGUAAAAACUCUACAUGAAACUCCAUACAAAUAGUGUCGCCAAAUUUUAAGGGCAAACGCCACAGCAACCAAUUCUAGAUCAUGAGUAGGGUAGUUCCUUUCAUGCACCUUCAAUUGUCUAGAGGCAUACGCCACCACCUUUCCUUGUUGCGUAAGGACACAACCCAAACCGUGCUUUGAUGCGUCACUAUAAACUUCAAACCCAACCCCUUCGGUAGGCAAGUUCAGAACAGGAGCAGUAGUGAGGCACUUCUUCAAUUCUUGGAAUGCCUUUUCACACUCUUCGGACCACAAAAAUUUUCUCUCCUUUCUCAUCAAUUUGGUCAACGGCUGAGAUAUCUUUGAGAAAUCCUUAACAAACCUCCGAUAGUAACUAGCAAGACCUAGGAAACUUCGGAUCUCAGAAAUAUUACUAGGACUCUCCCAAUCCACCAACAGCUCUAAUCUUGGGAGGGUCUACCAUAACACCAUCCUUGUUGAUGACGUGGCCUAGAAACGACACUUCCUUAAGCCAAAAUUCACACUUGGAGAACUUCUCAAACCACUUAUGUUGCCUCAAAAUACCCAAGAUCAACCUCAGAUGCUUCUCAAGCUCUUCUUCAUUCUUAGAGUACACCAAGAUAUCGUCAAUGGAACUCAUGGAAAGAGCGGUUCACCUGGUCCAUGAAUACAACAAAGCAUUUGUAAGACCAAAGGGCAUAACCACGAACUCAUAAUGCCCAUAUCUUGUACGGAAGGCGGUCUUAGGAAUAUCCUCCUUCUUCACUGGAAUCUGAUGAUAUCCUGACCUCAAAUCUAUCUUAGAAAACACUCCAGCACCCUUUAGCUGGUCAAACAGAUCCUCAAUGCGGGGCAAAGGAUACCUAUUCUUGAUAGUCACCUUGUUCAAUUCAUGAUAGUCGAUGCAAAGCCGCAUACUCCAUCCUUCUUCCUGACAAACAGGAGAGGAGCACCCGACGGUGAAACACUCGGCCUAAUGAAUCCCUUAUCAAUCAGUUCUUGCAACUGAGUCUUCAAUUCUUGCAAUUCAGCAGGCGCCAUUCUAUACGGGGCCUUAGAUAGAGGGGUAGUACUAGGAGCGAGGUCAAUGCUAAACUCGACCUCUCUUUCGGGAGGGAUGCCCGGGAACUCGUCAGGGAAGACGUUCGAAUACUCACGAACAACCGGGAUGUCCUCUAACUUCACCUCUUGAUUCAGAUCUUUAACCAUGUAGAGGAACACUUGCUUUUGCAUUUUUAGAGAAGACACGAUCUUUACUCCUUUCUUCAACACCACUCCACUAUAGGAGAUACGGUUGCCACACGGACUACGAAGAGUCACCUUUUGAUCGCGGCAAUGAGUCUGGGCACGAUACUUAAACAACCAAUCCAUACCCAGGAUAACAUCAAACUCAAUCAUGGAGAAUUCCUUGAGAUCAACCGAAAGAUUGGUACCCAACAUGGAAAUAGGCACAUCACGAUACUCGGCAAAACAAGGGUAGUUCUCAUCAGAAGGCAAAGAUAUAAGAGUUCGAAGAGGAGAACUCGAAUACAGGUUUGCUUUCUUGGCAAAAGAUGUAGACACACAUGACACGAAAGCACCUUAAUCAAACAACACAAAAGCAGGGACUGAAGUAACAAGAAAGGUACCAGAGAUGACGUCGGGAUGAACAUCGGCAUCAGAAUAAGUCAUGUUGUAAACUCGAUUCUUCGGCGGAGCAGAAUGACUAGGAGUAGCAGGAGGUUUAGCUGUAGCCCUCGGAUUCUUAGGACACUCAUAACUCUUGUGAUCCGCUUCCCUAUAGUAGAAUCAAACAAUAGCAGAUCCAUCACAAUCCUUCCCCAGAUGAUUAGGCUUCUCACACCUCCGACACUUGGAUGGAUCAAAACCCGGCCUAGAUUGGAACCUUGAUAUCCACCGCGGAAAUUCGGUUCAAACCCUGGCUUCUGAGCAGGACCAUGAGCAAAAGAUGGGACAGGCUUCCUCACAGACGCAACCUUAGCAGUUUCUUCUUCCUUUAUUGGCGCAUGGACACUCAGGGUCAUCUCAUAAGCAGCUUGAAAAGUAGUAACUCCCGAACACAACACAAGAGUCCUUACCCUAGGAUCCAUCUUCUUUAUGUAUCUCUUAACCCUCUCAGCUUCAGUGGGAAUGAAAGUACCAGCAAACUUAGACAACUCGGUGAAGCGGUCGUUGUACUUUUGAAUAUCCAUAUUCCCCUGAGUUAGAGAUAGAAACUCGUCCUGCUUUUGCCAGCGCAACUCAUCAGGGUGAACCUCUCCUUCAGGUUGGCAGAGAACUGAGUCCACCCAUAUCCUGCAGUAGCCAUACAUGCAGCCCUCACCGUACUCCACCAAUUAUCAGCCUCUCUCUUCAAGUAGUACGUCCUAAUAGGUACCAUUUCAGCAACAGGGUAGUUUGUUGCCGUGAAGAGCUUCUCCAUUUCCCUUAACCAAUUCUCCAAAGCCACAAGGUCAGCAGCACCAUCAUAAGUAGGAGCCCUAUGACGGUCAAAUCGGUCGAAAGCAGACUGCCCCUCAGCAGGAGUAGUAGCUCUGUUAGCCAAGGAUAUGAAAGCAUUUUCUAGGCUUACACGGCGACGACGAGCGGCUUCUUUUCUAGCAGGCAAUUGUUAUCGUGGAGGCAUUCUACAAAAUAAAAGCUUUCAAUUUAGUCAACUAAAUUCACAUAACAAAGCAUUAAAUCGAUAAAUACGGUAAACGAAAUUGAUUCCCGAGGUUUACUUUCCUACCCAAGUAACUCUUAAAAAGCGCUAGACUUGAAACCUAAGACACUAGUAAUCCUAGUACAAGUCUACUCAUUCUCUGGAAAUAUAUAGCAACUCAAAGAGAGCUUGUGGAACGUUUUACUCUGAUACCAACUGUAACAUCCCGUCCAAUGCAAAGAAUAGUAGAGGCUAAAAUAAAAGAAAUAGUGCAAAUAGCGGCAGCGGAAAUACCAGUAAGAUGGAGAUGCUACUCUAAGGAGUAGAAUAUGAAUCUAUAAUAAGUAAAAUCCUUCAAAGACAAUAUUCAAUCUCCAAAGUCAUAUAUAUAAAAAGAGAAAAUGAGGUCCCAUACCAUCACUCCAACAAGUCUCAAAACAUCAUAUGAUUUCCAAAAGAAACCUCAAAAUAGAGAAUAUCCAAACCAAAAGACAACUAAAAUUCGUAGUUCGAAACAUGUGACAACACGAAAGGGAUAGCUACUUAAGACCAACUAAGUAACUAGUCCUAAUUCCUGCCUCAAAAUGCUCGUCCACUAUGACUAGCACCACUUUCUUGCUCACAUGGUUAUAACGCACAACCCCGGUCCAAACCGUGACGAUCCUAAACAGCAUCACCAUCUGCAUAAUAAAUCAACAACUUCCACAAUCAGUGGGGAGUAACUAGCAGUUCUCCCAGCUCAAAUAGAAACAGAUAAUGAACUUAAAAGUAAUUAGAAGCAACAUCAAAGAACACAUUAACGAGUUACCAAUCUCACCAAGAGGUACAAAUAAUCACAAGUAACCAAUAAGGGAAAUUCAACAUCACACCAAGUCCCGAUCAGCCAUGCAACAAAUGCGGUCAACAAGCUCAAACAUAACAGACCAUACCGUAUGUGAGUAGACUCAUUGGACCAUGCCGCCCAAGGCUUAAGUUGCAUAUUCGAGGAACUAUAUUGCCCUUUUCGAAUAGCUAUAAUCUACGGAUCAUACCACCUGUAAGUGAACCAAUGGACCAUACCGCCCAAGGUUAAGUCACCAAGUUCCUAGGACCAUACCGCCCUUAGGAUACUCAAACUCAGGUUCCUAGGACCAUACCGCCCUUAGGAUCAUCAAACCCAAAUUCCUAGAACCAUACCGUUCAUAUGUUCAAUCCAACUCUUCAAAAACAAUGUAUACACGACAAGGUAUACACACAAUCCGACUAAACCAACUUUCAUAGGUAUACACAACAUGGUAUACAAGCAAAUCAAAUCCAGCUAACCAAUAAGGUUCAAUCGUGAGAAUACACAACCACAACACAAGCAUUCAACACACUUCAAGGCAAACAACCGUAAGAUACCCAACAAAAUUGGGCACAUACCCUUAAUAUACUUACUCAACAAACCCAAACUUACUCAAACAUAUUUAGCAUACAUACCUUAUAUAACAUCCCUAUAAUACUAGGAAAUACUUAAUAAUGAAAAGGAGCAACCAUAAACACAAAAGACAUGCACCAAUUCGCAAAAGAAAAACCUCGUCAGGGAAACUGACGGAUGGGAGCUGGCGCUCCCUUGUGGAGCUGGCGCUUUAGUGAGAAGCAAGCGCUCCAGACAGGAGCCAAUGCUCCUUGCUGACAGCGAGUGCUCGUAAUCUUCGAGCUAGGCUCGUACGUGAUCCAAUGACCAACUCAAUCCACACCAAACAUCAUCAACCAAUACACUUAACAUGAGACACAUCACUCAACAAUCAAAUACUCCAUUCUCCAAUAAACAAACCAAGUUACACCAAAUCAUUUGAAAAACAAAACAUGAAAUUUGACAAACUAACUAGCAAGAACCAACAAGAUGAUCAUAACAACAUGUUCAUUACAUGAAAAGUAACACAAGAACAACCAUACUUAACAUGAUAAUACGUUAAACUACAAUCAUACAAUCAUCUAAGUUCCACCUAGCAUGAUUCUAAGUUCUGUAACGCAAUUCUAACAACCUAAGUUCGUCAUCUAUUCCCUAUCGAGCUAGAAUAACGCUAGUUACCUUUUUCUUGAAGAGGUAAGUAGUAGAACACUUCGAUCGAAGUCUAAUUUCCUUGUGAGUAAUCACCACCUUCAUCUCCUACGAACACAAUCACAACCAACUCAACAUGUACUUGAAAACCAGUGCAAAAAUAGCUUGAAACCAAGAAGUGUGGACUGGUUUUUGUGUGAUAAAAUGUGAAGGAAGAACAAAACUUUUCCUCUCCCUUUUUCUUGUAUUAGGCGUGUAAAAUGAAGGUGACAAGGGAGGUAUUUUUAUGAUUUUAUUUUCAGAAAAUGAAGGUGAAGAGUUUGUGUUUUAAGAGGUGUAUUAAGAAAGGUAAAUGAAGAGAUGACUCUUGGUUAACUUAACGUUACAAGAGCUUAAUAAGGUUGUCCAACAACCAUUCAUAUACCACCAAAAAAAUCAGAAAUUUGGACUUCCUAAAACAAAUAAUACAAUGUACAAAAGCACUAGUACAAUGUACAUAUCAGGCACCAAGUAAAACGUUGAAAAUAAUAUAUAUAAGUAAAUAUUUUUAUAAUUACAAAUUAUAAUUAUUAAUGUAAUACAAAUACGUACUUACCACACUAUCACAUUUUACACUUUGCACAGACACGAGCACUACAUUGUCCAGUUCAUAUAACUAACGCAGAUACAAGUAUUAUACGUCUAUCAAACAAUGCCACACAUAAAACACAUUAAAACAAUAUUGAUCAAAAUAAUGUAGGUGUAAAGUAUAUAUAUAUAUUUAUACUUUCCGAAAAUAUAUUAGUAAAAAUAUAAUUUAACACUCAAAUAAUAAUAAUUAACGCGUGAAAAUUUCAGAGAAAUUUUGGGGUGUUACAGAAACAAUUAUCUAUUUCAACUGUUUCUUAUGAGUUUUUUUUUUUAAAAAAAAAAUAAAACUAUGUUCGUACGGACUAAAUCUAUAUACUAGGCUUAGGCUCAUCAACUUCAACUAAUUUCCCCCUUUUGGCAUCAUUUAGAAGUACACAAUCAAAAAAAAUCAUUGCAUAUAAGUUAUCCCCCAAUAGUUCAAAAAUAGUAGCAUCAACAACUAUUCAGAUCAGCAUGCUGCGAAAUCAAGUUAGGCAUGCAACUCACAGUUCAUAACCAAACACAAAUUAUUCAAAUGCAAACAAGCAUAGUCAAACAACAUUAAUUACAUACAAAAAAAUAUUUUGUAAUAAGGGAGGGAAAACGGUAAUGCAAAAAUAGUUAUUAGAAUGGGGUAGGGGAAACAGCUGGAAAAAGUAAUCACUCAUAAUAUUCUAAUCAGAGACAUCAUCCUCAUCAUUUUUGGAAGAGGAGUGUAAGGAUCCAGCACCAGCUUCAUAUUCCUCAUCAUCAUCUUGAUCCUUUUCCAUAGAACAACAGGUUUGCAGGGAUCAACAGGAAGAGGAGGAUCUGAAGAACCAGUAGGACCCUGAGAGCUAGAAAGUGAAGCUUUAAUCUCUAGUAGGGUUAGAACCAACAACUUAGUCGCGAACAACUUCCUCUCAAGCUUAGUGACCUUCGACUUCUCCUGGUUGUCCAACCUUUCAAUCAGAGCACGAUCAGAUUAGGUUCCCUGUAUCUUUAUCUUCUUCUCCUACGGCUUUUCUUUCUCAGCCGGUAUUCCUAACUCCUUGAACCUAAACAUAUGUGAGGAAACAUCCAAACCUUUUGCCCCAAUAUCUACUUAGUAAACACUUGAAUUUGAACUACUUUCCCAUUAAGAGGCAUCUUUUGCUUCUGGAACAGGAGGUUGAUGAUUGAACUAUAGGCUAGGGUAUGGUGAGAGGAUGAGAAAUAGUUUAUUCUAUGAUCAAUGAUGAGGGCGGGGAGAUUAAUCUUGAUCUUGUCAUCGUUAAAUAAACCAAGACCAUCUUUAUGAUUCGAACUAUUCACCUGGCAUGAGCCAUAGAAUUAACACUUUAUUGCAAAUUGAGUGUCGGAUCAACAUAAUGGGCUCACACAAAUUGGCAGAUUGAAAACUAGCAAUUCUUAUAAUAGGGCUCAACAAAUAAAAACUUUGAAAUUUUCCGUAUCGAUUACCCUAACCAUAGUAGGCCAACCAUCCCUUGGUGUAUUAAGUAGAUAAGCCACAAAAGACACUAACAUAGAGAUUUCACUUCCAAACUUAGGAGAACUCAAAUAUAUGUCGAGCAAUUAUAUUUUUUCAUAAAAAUAAAAUAAUUUACAAUUAAAACUACUUUUAACUUGUAUAAUUAUUUAGUUGUGCUAUGUCUUGUUGGGAUCAUUAAUUUAAAUUGUGUAGUGUUAUUUAGUUAUUUUUGUUAUAAGUUAUAAUUAUUUAUGCGCGUUUAGUAUUGCGAAUUGUUUAAUGCUACUUUAUAUAUUUUGGACCGACAACAUAACGGAAUUUAAGUCCAUCACUUAAGAUAGAGGGUCGAAUUUAGUGUGUUCUAGAGUCUUAUAGUGCAUUCUAGUUUAUCUUACUAAUGGUUUUGUAAUGUUAAAUCAACCCCAAGGUUACCUCUUCAUUUACCACCAUCAAACCACCUUAAUGCACCCUUAAAAUUUUGCGUAAUGGGGUGAAUAAUCAUAUCAGCUGUUUCACUUUAACCCCCUCCAUAAUGAUGAAAACAACUCAGGAAAUUCCUGCAUAACAACUCCUUCUUUUGCGAAGGACCCUCAUCCCGACUUUGGUAUCAGAUCUUGGACGAAGACCACUCGCCGAAGGAAGCUGUCUAAGGAUAUCUUUCUUCUUCUAUGGAGGAUCUCCGUCCAUAAUCCAAUAUAUUACGGACGACCAACAUCUAAAACCAGGCAUUUUUCUUCCACGAACAACCCUUGUCCGAGGUCAUGACGACGUCUAAGCUACAAAAAAAAUUUAUAAAUUUUACUAGAGUAUCAACCCUUUUCUCGGCUCCAGUCCUGGAAUACUCUUUACAAAGAUUGUCGGUGAACUUAGACAUACUGAUGUUGCCCAUCCAAGACUUUCAUAAUUAUGCUCUAGUCACCUCUGUAAACAUAACCAAAGGGUUAGUGAGAUAUAUGUGUUAGCUAGCUUGGUUUACUAGAGAGUUUUUGAAGUAUAACUCUUACCUCGGCAAUCGCAAGCCCGUGACGACCAAAUUAUCAUAAAACACCAUCUUUUUAAACGGAAUCCAGUUAGCUCGUCCUCUAAAGGUCGUAUGGUUUGGCUGGGACUAUUCCUUCAAUUUGAAAUAUUCCCCAUUAUCCUCGUCAUAUUUGUCUUCUAACUCCAAAAAUUACGGCCUCCGACCAAUAUUCGUCGAUGUACGGCUACGGACGAGGUAAUCCUCGACCAUGUAUUUAUUAGUGGCUCGUAAGAAGAUAAAAUCAGCUUUACAGUCAUGCAUCUUCGAAGGCUUAUCCCAAGGUGAGAAAUCCAGUACGGUUACAAACACUAAACCAAGCGCCGUCGGAGUAAAGACCGGUAGAGAAAGGGCCAGGCCGCACCACUCGCAGACGACUAUAAAGGAUGUUUUGUCGGGCAUUCGACACCAGUUAAUUAUGGCCGAUGCUGUAAAACCUUAGGAUUUGCUCUAUGAAAUCAUGGCGGGGGAAAUCUCAACCCUUAUCCAGUGCUAGCUUAUACACGGCAUAGUGGUUCUUGGGAGGACUUAAAAUAGUAGCCUCCCUGUAAGGAAUGACAAAGAAGUAGCCUGACAUGGGCAUGACAGAAGAUAAGAAAAUGGGGUUAGAGCCAAUUUUUUAUAACCACCUACGGUUGCCAAAAAAACUCGGGUUAGAUAGAGGACCUAGACGUCUUCUAAUUUUAGACGAAGUAGAGGAGGGGUCAUCCGAUUCCUCAGCAAUGAUGGAAUCGCCCUCAUGAUCGCUUUCGACGUUCUCCUCCAUCUCGACCUCCCUACCAGACAGACUGGGAUUGGGGCGUGCGUUGAAGUUUCCUUCUCUGAUAUGGAAAGGAGAAGAAGGCCCGGUAAAGGGCUGAGCACUAUGAGUUUCUCUCGUCUCUUCUGGAACUCGUCCAAUAGAUUCCUCCAUUUUAUAGCUAUAAGAAGGGAGAAUUAUUCUUCGUCUGAGAUGGGUUGUUUGCUUGACACGUGCUAGAUUACUCUACACAGGUAAAGACUGGGUCAUCUGACUUUGUCGGCCAAAACCAUAAAAAUAUACAUAACCUGCAAGAAUAGGCCCAACCCUAGAAUAUGCCGAAGAAUAUAUGCUAUCGAUUCUAGUGUGAAGACAAGCUCUUGGACGACUGGAAUUAUUUGACGAAGAAGAGGAAUCCAUGUUGUAUUAUUAUUUUUUAAGAAAAAAAAAAAGAAUGCAGAGCAAAGAAGAAAGAAGGAAUACAUGACGAGCGCUUGGACGUUCGAUGAAGAAAGUGAAACUUGGACGAACUCGGUAUUUGUCUAGAAAACUAGGAAAAAUGCAUUAUCUCGCUCUCUAAAAAAAUUCACUCCAUAUGUAAAUAGAUUUCAGUAAGGACAAAAGAACAUAUAUAUAGGGGGUGAAAAACCUCCAAAACUAGUUAAGAAAGACUGGUGAUUCCUAAGUUGGUUAAAGAUAACCGUUAAAACCCCAAGAAAUGGUGUGUCUUUGCCUCUUUUUAAAAAUGAGGCAACUUCUUCAGUUAUAAGGGUAUUAACCAUAUAGGGGCUGAUGGUAACUUCUUCAGAUAAAAGGGGAAAAUGUUGUAGCCUAAAUAAAUCAACGACUCUCCAGAAGACAUGUGGAACCAUAAGGAGCAUCCAUGUGUCCCCUCCAAAGGAGUAAAAAAGAGGUUUCAACUUUGAGUUUUACUAAGAAAAGAAUUAAAGCCCACCUUUUCGUCUGAAAGAAUAUUAAGGCCCAAAUCGCAAAAAAAACGACUGCAUGUGAUUGGCUGGUGUUCACCAUCCAAUUAUUGCCUUCCCCGUGUAGAUGUCUGAUUUUCUGACCAAUCAAGUGCCCCUUUUUUACUGUGACCUCAAAUGCCAGCAUUCAAGACCCCAACACUUAAAAUUGCCCUAAAAAUCAGGAGAAAGGUAACUUUUGGAAGAGUGUGCCCAUACUCUACAUAAAUUCUCUCUCUACUUUUCCUUUACACUCCAGAUAGCUGACUUAAGAUUCGGAGGAGGAACCACCACCUGAAUCUCCCAGGUGGGACCCUUCUUUUGUGGGUUUGGGAACAGAGCUCAGGUUUGGGUAGCAAGAUUCGGACAUCGUUGCACAAGUCUCCAUUGAAGAACAUUGUGAAGAAGGAGCUUACUUGUCGGACAAGUUGCCCAAAACAAAAAACAUAUUUUUAUUCCGUAACAUCCAAUCUCCGAAUUUUAAGGAUAGGAAAUUAUCUUUAAAAACGCGCUUAAUAAAAAAAGGCUGGCAAUGAGCUGGACGUAGAGGUUGCGCCUAGCGUGCCACGUCCGUCCAGCACAUUGGCCAAGCUGUGUUAAGCGCGCUACUGUGCCCCUGACACGUGGAAUUUUGACUCUCACAGAGUCCUGUCUUUUUAAAUACUCAUAUACAUGUGUACAACUUUGAUUGGGCAGCCUACAUCAGGCGUGCCAAUGUGCGCUUGACACGUAGAUCUUCGCCUCACCCGUCAGCCUGUGCUUGGCGCAGGGGGAGCGUAAAGCGCAAAUUCUUGUUGCAUAUAAAUACGUGCGCACGUUUUCCUGAAUCACAUACGAUUUUUCAAAUAUUAUUUCGCGAGCACAAAAACUUCCAAAUACUUUUGAAAUAUACUUCGAACAUCUAAACACUCAAACACUUUCCAUACUUCAAAUCCUUUUCCAGUUCCUGAUCAUACUACAUUAUUGGUUCCACGAUUGUUCCGCCUGAAGGUCGUUAAGCUCUUCGAACUAAGCCACAUAGGAAUAAUUUCUGAGGAUUGUUGAAUAAUUCAAUUUUGUUUAUUACAUUGAAGUUACUAACAGUUUUUAUAUAAUGUAGAUAUUAAUUGAUAAUCGUGAUUAUUGUUUAUUAAUUAUAAUCCCUUUUACUAUUAUUUUGUAUAUAAUAUUCAUAUGGUUUAUUUGUCCUAUGCAUGAUUUUUAUCACAUACAUGUUAUAGUUGCUAAACAAGACCUAAAGAAUUAUUCUAACUAAUUCAGAUAAUUUGGACAACCUGCUAGGUACCUUGUAAUAUUAUUACUUAAUAACUUGUCAAUACAAAUUAGUAUUUUAUGUGUUUUCGAAACCAGCUAAGACUAAAUAUUAUUUGAUCAUUCUUUGCCAUAAAAUCUGUUAUGAAUCGAUAUUUAGUAGAGGCCGGUAAUGACUAACAUAGUUCUUGAUUGUGUUAUACCCUCACCCCCGAAUGCAACUUCUGGUUUCGGACCAUGUAGGAAGUACAUAUAGGUAAAUCUACAUUGGAUAAGUCUCUAAUAUGUCCCUACAUUUUUAAUAUCCAAUUAGGUUUAUGAGUAUUCCUUUCGUUGGCGACUUCAAAUCGAAUUUCAAAUAAAAAUUAACAAUGAGGAAGUCAAAUAAACGCGCUCAACCAGUGGUAAGCGAUAAGUAAAAAUCCACGCCUACACAAUUAUAUAAUUAUUAUAAUGCAAAAAAAAAAAAAAGACAUGUUUGGUAUUAAGUAGAGGCUAGCAAUGGGCGACACGGUUCAUGACCAUGUUCAUACCCUUACCCCCGAACACAAUUUAUGGUUUAUUGAUCAUCUAUGGAGUCUAGACGUGGAAAUCUAUAUUGGAUAAGUCCUUUAUUAGUCCCUACUAAUUUUCAAUAUCUAAUUAGGUUUAUGAGUCUUCCCUUAAAAACUUGUUGGCGAGAUAAAAAGUAUUCAAUAAAACCUUAAGAAUGGAGUAGUCAAAUACACUCUCAGACCGUAUAGGUGAAAUAAAAACACGCCUACAAUAACCUUGUCUAAUGGUGUACCAAAAGGCAAGCUAUUGUUUCUUAGUCCAGUGUUGAGGUCGAGUAUCGUAGUGUUGCCAAUGUUAUAGCCAAAACAAGUUCGAUACCGGACCUCCUCCUUGAGCUUCAUCUUCAUAUCCGCAUUGCCACUAUGGUUAUCUAUGAUAAUAUUUCAACUGUCUAUCUCUUUGGCAACCCCGUACAACAUCAACGAACUAAAUAUGUUGAAGUUGACAUUCAUUUUGUUUGCGAAAAAAUUCAAGUUGGUCAUAUUCGUGUUUUGCAUGUUCCUUCUAAGCAUCAGUAUGCUGACAUAUUCACCAAAGGACUGUCACGACAUCUUUUCACUCGUUUUAGAUCCAUCAUGAUCGUAUGUCAUCCUCCUGCGCUAGUUGUGGGGUGUAUUAGAUUGUACUCAUGUAGUUAUGUUAGGAUAUUAUUUGUUAUAUUAUUGACUUGUGCAACGUAGGUUAUUUCCUAGCUUGUAUUCCUCUUUAUUGCGAAUGAGAACCUUAAUCCUAAUUAGUGGAUUCACCAUCUUUAAUGUUGAAUCAAAAAUAGCUUCACAGUUUGACCAACCAAAUCAUUUAUGAUGCCUAAAAUACCUUCUAUGAUUAGUAUAAAGGGAGAAAACCAUAUGGCUGCAGAAAAGUUAGUAAAAUGUUAGCAAAAAAAUAUAAUAGAUCGAUAUAGAGAAAGAGAGAGAGGGGAAAGAGAAACAAGAUAAAGGGGCGAGGAAGCAUGCUAGUUGAAAGAUAUAGGCACUCACACCAAGGAAAAUGGAAAAUAACAUGGAGAAACCCAUAAGAUGAUCGCAAAUUAGAUGGUAAACACGAGUCUACCAUCCAAAUGGUGAUGAACAAAACAACAUUCUUAAUGAACAAAAUAACAUCCUCAAUGAACAAACUAAGCAAAAGAACAACACAUAAGACUCAAUGAACAUCUAAAUCAGCAAUGAACAACAAGAAAAAAAGAUGAAUUAAGAGAAAAUAUCUGAUGAAUAACCACUCAGCUUAAUGAACAGACAAAGAAAACACGAUGAACAAAUAAACAUCUGCAAUAAACAAACUAAGAUACAUAAAUAUAAAGGUUAACAAAGGAGAAUCGUCGAGAUCGAUGUUCAUUAGAAAACAAUUGACGUACAUUAGUUUCACAUGUUCAUUGGAGAACCGCUGAUGUACAUUAGUUUCAUGCGUUUUAUGUUUUUUGAGCUGCAUUUGGCCCAUGUCUACCAUUUUAAUGGUAGACACUAAUCCAACAUCUACGAAUUGAUAAGAUGAUAGUCUGGAAGUAAAGCACUCAGUACUACAUAUUGGUUCUUAAACCUACGGAAGGAAAGAACCCAUGUCAUAAGAAAAUAUUAACAAUUUCACGACAGCAAUAACUACUUUAUCAAUAGAUGGACGAAUAUCAAAUAGAAAAAAUACUAGCAAGAUUGGUUUAAAUGUAACCAAUAGCUAAACAGAUUAACCAUCUCAGCAUACAAAAUCAUAGAAAGGCUUUUAGAGAGUAUGGUUAUAUUAAAAGCUUAAGUGUCAUUGAUUUAUUUAAUUUCUGUAACUUAUACUAUAAUUUUCUUAGGAUAAAUGUAUACUGCUCUCGCACAGUUGAAGGUAUUUCAACCAAUCAUCGACUUAAGUAAGUGUCAUACUUCAUACAAACUUAGCGUGUUUGAACUAAAUUGUCUUUGUCCUUUUAGACUUAUGCAAUUAUUAUCUAGACUAUCUUACGGCUUAUAUUAUAUAAAUCUUGUAUAUUACGACUAAUGUUAAAAUUUCAAAUUAUUUGCAUCUCGUAUGGCUUAAAUAUCGGUGAUAUGAAAUGGUGUUGUAGUAUUUCAUUAAUGUGGAACAAAUCAAUGAAAUAAUAAGAACAAAAAAAGCAAUAAAAAAAUAAAGAAGAGAACACAAGGAUUUACGUGGUUCUGUCAAAAUACACCUACGUCCACAUGUGAGGAAAUCAAGAGCUUCUUCACUAUGAUGAAGAAAAUCAAAUAGAAUAAUUACAAGGAAACCUCGAAUACUAGAGGUUAAAAAUGUGUGUGUGUAUAACGAACACCAAUUAGGUCCUUUUAUUACAUAAGGAACCGCGCACAAAACCCUAAAAGAGAAUACAAUUCGGAAAUCACCAAGCCACGUCAAAAUCCCAGCCGCCCGAUCUGGUCCAGCGACAUUUGCCCGAUCGGGCGGUCAAUUUCAUCAAAUCGGCAGAUGUCUCAGGCACGAUCAGGCGCUGUUCGCUCUAUCGUGAUUCGUGAAGGAUACCCAACCUGAUCGGGGGCCUUACCUUAAGAGCCUGCUGAAGACGAGUGACCCCAUCCGUUCGGGCGAACCUGCCCGACAUGACCAGGAGGGCCUGCGAAAAACUCUGUUUGACGAGAUUCAAGGCAUCAAACAAACAAUUCUCAACCUUAACUUAAAAUCGAUCAAACAAAAUAACUCCACCUUGAACCAAGAAGAGAUGGUCAUCCAAAAAACUGUAAAACCUCCACUACCUUAAACAAAAUUGCAUAAGCCUACUCAGUUUAGGCAAUCCGAAAAACCUAUAUCUUCUAUAAUUGUGUACAUAUGCGUCUACGAACACAACUCCGUAUACGAAACCAUCACAUGGUCUAGUUUGAGAGUACAAUGUCACGAACGCCAAGCAUGCUUAUUUAAAUUCACCAAACUCUCUUCAAACACUUCUUCACCUCAACAACAAACUCAAGCAAUUCUAGAAAAUUAAAUGACAACAAUAAUGUCUAAAUUGCAAUUGUACUUAAUAAAACACAAAAGUACCACAUUGAGAUAAGAAAUAGCAUGAGUAGAUUAAAAUCUAAUGCAUACUUAUUACAAACUCGAAAGCAAUCUAUCAUAGACUCCAUAGUAAAAUCCACACGGUUUCUCGUUUCACCAAGUGAUCUCAAAGACCACCAAUCAUAAAGAGAUCAUAGAAACCACAACCCUAAAUCAUGUAACGCUAAGUGCAACACCAUCAUGAAAGACAUUGUUGGCAAUAUUUGCGGAUUGGUCCUCAUUGGACUUUUCCUCAUUCUUCUUCUUUAAUUUCUAACAAUCGGCUUUGACAUGACCCUUCACGUGACAGUAGUUACAGAUUUUAUUUUUGCCAAAAUUCUUUCCACCAUUAGAAACCAAAACAUUAGUUUGAGAAGCAUUAUUAGAUUUAUUAACCAACUUAUUUUCGGGCUUCCUUAACACCCUAGAAACUCAAAUCGUAUCUACCAUACAAUAGAGUAUCUCAAAAGUGCUUAUACGAAGGCGGCAAAGAACACAACAACCUAUUAAAUAUAUCCUCAUUGUCGAUCUCAACAUCGAAGUUUUCUAAAUCCACGAUAAUAGAGAAGAAUUCAUCUAAAUGAGACUCAAGCGGUUUACCUUCUUCUAGACUGAGAUCAUGAUGUCUAGAUUUGAGUAGUAGAUGGUUGGUCACGCUCUUUGUCAUAUAAAGUGACUCUAACUUCAACCACAAACCCGCAGUUUUCGUCUCCUUGGUAACCUCUCUCAAAACUUCCUUAUAGAGACAUAAAUGAAUUGUUGUGAGAGCCUUCAAAUCGAUCUAUUCCCACUUGUCCUCCGUCAUACCUGAAGGCUUUUUGGACGCACCUUCAAGAGCCUUGUGAUAGCCACUUUGAACCAAGAUGACUUCAUCUUCAAUUGCCAAGGCCAAAAUUUACUUGCCUAACAAAUUUCUCAAUAUCGAAUUUCAUUGACAUAAUUUAAUCAAACUCAUUUUAUAAACACCUAAGACCUAAAACCUUGCUCUUGAUACCAAUUUAUUAGAAAAGGGUCUUGUAGUGUUUGAUUAAUGCGGAACAAAUCAAUGAAUAAGAACGAGAAAAGUAAUGAAAAGAGAUAACCAAGAGAACACAAGGAUUCACGUAGCUCGAUCAAAAUAGACCUAUGUCCGCAGGUGGGGGAAUUAGAGCUUUUUCACUAUGACGGAACAAAACAUAGAGAAUAAUUACAAGGAGUCUUAUAAUACUAGAGGCUAAAAGUGUGUGUGUAUAAUGAACACCAAGUCGGUCGCUUUAUAACAUAAGGAACCCCGCAAAAAACUCUAAAGAGAAUUCAAUUCGAAAAUCACCAAGCUGCAUCAAAAUCCUAGCCGCCCGAUCAGGUCGGGCUACAUUUACCCGAUCGGGCGAUCAAUUUCUUGAACCUUGUUGAUGUAUCGAGCACGAUCGGGCAUUGUUCGUCCGAUCGUGAAUCGCGAAAGAUGAUCGAUUGCGUGUACCCGCCCCGGCUUGAUCAAGUGUCUUGCCUCAAGAGGUUGCUGAAGAUGAGCGAACCUGCCUGGUCAAGCGAACCUGCCCGACUUGACCGAGCGGGCCUGCGAAAAACUCCAUAUGAAGAGAUUCAAGGCAUCAAACUAACAAAUCUCCACCUUGACUUGAAAGUGAUCAAACAAGAUAACUCAAUACCUUGAUCCAAGAAGUGAUGAUCACCCAAAAAACAAUAAAACCUCCACUACCUUAAACAAAAUUCCAUAAAGACUACUCAUUUUAGACAAUCCAGAAAACGAACAUCUUCUAAAAUUGUGUACCGAUGCAUUUUCGAACACAAAACUCCGUAUACGAAACUAUCACAUGGCCUAGAUUGAGAGUACAAUGUCACCACGCCAAGUAUGCUUAUUCAAAUUCACCAAAUCUUUUUAAACACUUAUUCAACUCAACAACAAACUCAAGUAAUUCUAGAAAAUUAAAUGAUAACAAUAAUGUCUGGAUUGUAAUUGUACUUAACAAAGCACAAAAGUACCAAAUUGAGAUAAGAAAUAGCAUAACUUGAACAAAAUACAAUCAUAAAGAGAGUUUGGUGCAACAUCCACACGAUUUCUUGUUUCACUAAAAGAUUUCUGAUUUAUUAAAAACUCAAAAGCAAUCUAUCAUAGACUUCAUAGCAAAAUCCACACGAUUUCUCGUUUCACCAAGAGAUCUCAAAGGGCACCAAUCAUAAAGAGAUCGUAGAAACCGCGACCCUAAAUCAUGUAACCCUAAAGUGCAACACCAUCAGCAAAUACAUCGUUGCCAAUAUUUGCGGAUUGGUCCUCAUUGGACUUUUCCCCAUUUUGCUUCUUUAAUUUCCAACAAUCGGCUUUGACAUGAACCUUCACGUGACAAUACACUACUACAUUUUUUAACAAAGGCAAUUACUUGAAAAAAUCUAAUGCAACAAUCUAAUUUAUGUCGUUGCAAUACAAGUGUAUAAUGCAAUGACUCAUGUCAAUAUGGAUUAAUCUGAUUUGCUAUGGCAAUGACUAAGUAAGAUAGUUGAGCUAGAUUGAUCUAUGGCUACAGUACUGGUUUCGUCGUUGCAACAUGUCCAUUACCUUAUUGAUAUAUUGAAACGGAAUCUCAAAUUUCAUGAAUUACAUGCAUAUAAUUAUUUUAGUUUCCCUCCAAUUCUAUCUUUAAAUUUCAAACUCUAACUUUCAAACCCUUAUCGAUCAGUUUCCAUAGAGCUCUCUACCUCUCUUCGUGCCUCCCAUCACCUUAGCUUUUCGUAGAGGUUGAAUUGAAGCUUUUGUAUGGGGAAUUUUCAAUUGAAUAAUAAGGGAUUCAAAUUUAACUUUAAGGGUUACAUAUAUGUCAUUUGAAGCUUUCUGCCACGGCAGUCAGUGGCAUCAACCACCCUUUUCUAUCUCUUUACACGGCGGCCAGUUGCAUCAACCACUUCACCGAUCUUUAUGAUGCUUUUAGGAGGACUCAAAUCAUGUAACUUUGACUUCAGAACCAACUUUUAAUUUCAGUUCUGAAGAAUUAUUUUUCUUUACCAAGAUUAAAGCUUUUGUUAGAGAAUGAUUUUCAUCACGGUACCUUAUCAAUUAUUUUCUUUAUCUUUCUCUUGUAUCUUUCUACAAUUAACAGGCAAAAUUCUGCUAAUUUUGAGUUAAUUUGAAAAAUUGAGAUUAUUACGCCGACGGUUAUCUUGUAAUCUCUCUCCUCCUCUAUCUCCUUUACUUAUUCUCACUUUUAUUUUCUUAUUAAUAUUAAUUGUUUUAAAUUCUUUUUCGCUUUCAUUUUCAAAUUUGUAUCAGCUUCUUUCUUCAUAAUUUCAGGAAACAAUUUGAUUUUUCAUGAAAUUGGUGUUGUAUGAUGUCAUAAUCAGAAUAAUUUAUUUAAUUGGAUCCGUAUUAUUGGUCAUCACAUUUCUAAAUCACUCAUCAGGUUCAUAUGGUUGCUAAUAGUUUUGCACUGGAUUGGAUGUGUGCUUCUGAUAUCGUUUUGGAGAUAACUAGUAUAGAAUAAUGGACCGAAAAGUAAUCAAAAGUAGAAAGAAUAGUUGGCAAUUUAUUUUCUCCAGAACAUAGGCAAUGAGGAAAACUAGGUCGUCACUAGUCUCCUAAAUUCAAACAAAACCUAACUAGAUCACUAAACUAAGUAAAGUGACAAGCAAGGGUACGGUCAUUCUUCCACAAGGACUAAGGAGUACCAAUAUGUGUUAAUUUAACAAUAAGCUGGACAGAAGAAAUCUCUAAGUUUUGGUUAAACUAAGAGUAUAAACUAUUGAAAUCAAAAUAGGAAAAGCACUAGGAAUGGGAAAGUACCACAAUCAUAAGUUCACAUCCAACAACCAAGAGAAAAUAAGGGGGUUGACAUGCAUUGGGGAUAUGCAAACGGAAUAAAUAAACCUAAACACCUCUAAAAUCGUUGUUAGGGAUUUUAGAGUUCUAAUUACGGCAACAAAACCUAUAUUUUGAGGUUUUAUAACGUAACUACGCCAAGUUAGAAAUUGAAAUCAAACACAAGUUAAUAACAACCAUCAAGUGAUGUAUAUCAACUAAUCAAUCAAUCAUGAAGGUCAACUACAUAAAAGUAACCAUUAAAUGGACAACAAAAGGAUCAAAAGGUGAUAAAGCUCACAUCAACUAAGUCGCCAAUCAACAUCAAUGAUUGAAAUUGCAUAAAUCUUAAACAUAACCAACCUAAUAAACUCUACUCGUGAAAUAUGAUAGAAACAAUGAUUGGGUUACUCCCAAUCCUAGUUAAUGAACUACUCACUACCCAUUAUACUACCAAACAUCCUAAACAUGGAAAAAUUAGCAAUAGAUCACCAAUCCAAAAAUACCAAAAAAAAACCUAAAUCAAGACUUUCAAGCAAAAACAAAACAAAAUCUAGUGAACAAACAAGAAGAAAAUAGAAAAAGAUGAAAAACUUUAAGGAAAAAUUAUCAUAAAUAAGUCAACCUUUGGCCCAUCCGCUAAAACUAAGUCAAGAUUUUGAUUAUCCUGAAAUAAGCUAAACUUUAAUAGCUAUCCGUUUUUAACAAGUCAUAACUUAUUUUAACCUUUUUAACAGGUUAAAAAUCCACAUGUUACUUUAUCAUUCAUUGAUUUAUUAUUGUUAAAAUAAUGAUAUUUUAACAGAAAAAACAAGUUCUCCUCCAUUCCCCCCCCCCCUUCUUACCCACCAUCACCACCCAACCUCUCUUUCUUCCUCUUCCCUAACACCAACCAACCUCCCAAAGCCACCCAACCACCACCACCAUAUUACUGUUAAUCCCACAGGUUCCCACCACUGCCAAGACCAGCAAUCUCUCUCUGAUUCAUCUCUGUUUGACAAAAAUUCAAUUUUGACAAAAAGUACUACGAUAUGUUUAAGAUUAUAAAUACUUCAUUAACGAUGCUAACAAAAUUGUACCCAAAAGGUCACACAAUGACAGUAAACCAAUAACUUGCACUAAUUAACCAAUUUGUACAUGCCAUUAAGGGGGUAUGGAGUCCCAAAUUAAGGACCUUUAUAGAGGCCCCCCAAAAUUCAGGAUUCCACCAAGUGACGUUUAUUACCCCUAAAGCAUAUUAUUAAUGCAUGCAUUGUUGGAUUUCCUUAAUUGGACUUCAAUUCGAGUUUUUCCAUCAAUUACGGUUUCUUCCAUUUCACCACCCCUCGUUUUAGUGCUCUUCUUGUCAGCCCCUUCUAUUCUUCAUGUAUCUAUUCCACAAUUUUUCUGUGCAACUUUUGAAGCUCAGCUUAUUUCCGAUGAACCGACAGCUUUAGUGGCAACAACACAUAAAACAACGAAUAUUGAGGGCCGACCUUGAUUUCACGCGUGCCUUUAACAGGCCACGCAGGCGUAAGGUGAGGUUGAGGGUGUCUGUGUUGGUAUCGAGUUUGUUGGUGUUGGUGGUGGUUCUGGGUGUUGGUUAGUUGUGGGCGGGGUUGUGGUGGUUGUCGGUGGUAGAGGACUUAGGGGGUGGUAGUAGACUAGCUAGUAGUGGUGGUGGUGGUCUUAUAGAGGUGGGGAACAGAGGGUAAAAGAAUGUUUUUAAAAAAAAUUAUGAAAUAACGAUUUACCCAUCAAACCAUUUGCUGGUCACUUGACUUGUUUAAAACAAAUGGGUAUUGAAGUUAGACUCAUUCAAAAAUAAUCAAAAGAAUGACUUAUUUAUAGCAGAUGGUCUAAAAGUUGACUUAUUUUUAACAAUUUUUCCAAACUUUAAUCUAGAUUAACUAUUAAACAUGAAAGUUAAACAAUGCUAACAAUUAAAAUAACACAAACAUUUAUAUGUGGCUGGCCACACCUAUAACUAAUGGUGUGGCCAACUAAUAUAAAAGCCCAAUUCGCUUAGUGAUAUAACAGAGCCAGUCCGUUUGGUUUUCAUUUGAGAAAUUUGAAGGAGCCCAACGCAAGAAAUGAGAAAUUUGAGCCCAUUUCUCUCUCUCCUUUUGUUCUCUUCCAGUUGAGCUCAUUUCUCUAUGUUUUCUUCUUCUUUUUUCUGGCAUUUCGUAUGUAACCUCCAUUUCUAAACAAUCAUCAUCAAGGGUUUGGUUUUCAUUUUCGUUCUUGACUAUUAUGCUGUUCGAAUUAUUUGCGGAAUUAUGGCUAGAGAAAAGACUACAUCUCGUCGUCGUCCAAGUCAUGGUGGUCGCAGUGAUGGUGGUCGCAGCGUUUGUGGUCCUAGUGAUGGUGGUCGUGGUUCAAAAGAUGAGUCUCUUGGGAAAGAUAUUCCUAACCAUGAAGGUAAUACAGGAGAUGAGUCUGUUGGGAAAGAUGUUCCUAAUCGUGAAGGAAGGGAUAAAUAAGGUCCAUUGAGGACAUGUAACAGUACUCCUUCGAAGCCAGCUGGGAAAAAGAAGACUAAUCGUGAAGGUAAUACAGAACAUGAGUUUGUUGGGAAAGAUGUUCCUACGAUCCUUGAGGAGGAAGCUGAAGAGGAGUAUAAUCCUCAUAAAAGAUGUCGGGUUUCUAAAAGUACUCCUUCGAAGCCAGCUGGGAAAAAAAAGACUAAUCGUGAAGGUAAUACAGAAGAUGAGUUUGUUGAGAAAGAUGUUCCUAUGAUCCUUGAGGAGGAAGCUGAAGAGGAGUAAAAUCCUCAUAAAAGAUGUCGGGUUUCUAAAAGUACUCCUUCGAAGCCAGCUGGGAAAAAGAAGAUUAAUCGUGAAGGUAAUACAGAAGAUGAGUUUGUUGGGAAAGAUGUUCCUAUAAUUCUUGAGGAGGAAGCUGAAGAGGAGUACAAUCCUCAUAAAAGAUGUCGGGUUUCUAAAAGUACUCCUUCGAAGCCAGCUGGGAAAAAGAAGACUAAUCGUGAAGGUAAUACAGAAGAUGAGUUUGUUGGAAAAGAUGUUCCUACGAUCCUUGAGGAGGAAGCUGAAGAGGAGUACAAUCCUCAUAAAAGAUGUCGGGUUUCUAAAUGUACUCCUUCGAAGCCAGCUGGG
Molecule: long non-coding RNA, 24325 nt
Organism: Beta vulgaris subsp. vulgaris (sugar beet)
Lineage: Eukaryota; Viridiplantae; Streptophyta; Magnoliopsida; Caryophyllales; Amaranthaceae
Exons: 8
Source: RefSeq, a predicted model, not a curated record